RNAcentral lists this ribosomal RNA (301 nucleotides) under uncultured bacterium. RNAcentral describes it as "partial 16S ribosomal RNA". It matches the Rfam family "Bacterial small subunit ribosomal RNA", at positions 509 to 807 of the family's 1533-position model. The record is from RNAcentral.
CAGCCGCCGCGGGAAUACGUAGGGUGCGAGCGUUAAUCGGAUUUACUGGGCGUAAAGCGUGCGUAGGCGGCUUCUUAAGUCGGAUGUGAAAUCCCUGAGCUUAACUUAGGAAUUGCAUUCGAUACUGGGAAGCUAGAGUAUGGGAGAGGAUGGUAGAAUUCCAGGUGUAGCGGUGAAAUGCGUAGAGAUCUGGAGGAAUACCGAUGGCGAAGGCAGCCAUCUGGCCUAAUACUGACGCUGAGGUACGAAAGCAUGGGGAGCAAACAGGAUUAGAUACCCCUGUAGUCCCUGUCUCUUAUAC